CAGCAGCCGCGGUAAUACGUAGGGUGCGAGCGUUAACCGGAAUUACUGGGCGUAAAGCGUGCGCAGGCGGUUAUAUAAGACAGAUGUGAAAUCCCCGGGCUCAACCUGGGACCUGCAUUUGUGACUGUAUAGCUAGAGUACGGUAGAGGGGGAUGGAAUUCCGCGUGUAGCAGUGAAAUGCGUAGAUAUGCGGAGGAACACCGAUGGCGAUGGCAUUCCCCUGGACCUGUACUGACGCUCAUGCACGAAAGCGUGGGGAGCAAACAGGAUUAGAUACCCCAGUAGUCCCUGUCUCUUAUAC
RNAcentral lists this ribosomal RNA (301 nucleotides) under uncultured bacterium. Its description in RNAcentral is "partial 16S ribosomal RNA". It matches the Rfam family "Bacterial small subunit ribosomal RNA", at positions 509 to 807 of the family's 1533-position model. The record is from RNAcentral.